RNAcentral lists this unclassified non-coding RNA (383 nucleotides) under Hevea brasiliensis (rubber tree). Lineage: Eukaryota; Viridiplantae; Streptophyta; Magnoliopsida; Malpighiales; Euphorbiaceae. The record is from RNAcentral.
CCUCUGAACAAGUCAGAAUUGGAACAUCAAAUGUUUGAGCAGUAGAAUCAACCAAAGCUUCAGCUUGAUGAGAACUUCUAACAAUCAUCUGUUCAGUAAUCGACCCACGUUGCAAACAUUGAAACCCAAGUCUCCAAAAUGAAAGAUUUCGCGAUAGUAGACACGAAUUAUGCAAAUGAUCAGGGAGGCUUGAGGGGAUACGCCAGUGUUGCCAAGUGGGUUUUGGUAGAAAAGCUGUGGAAGACGAAGCCAUGGAAGCGAAUACUGUGGAAUAGCAGACCCAGAGGAAUAGUACGAUCAAAAUAUACUGUACAUCAACGGGUUGAUCUUCAUGAUUUGAUAUUUGUAUUGAAAUGUUCAAGUGUCAACAUUCCGACGAAAAA